UACAGAGGGGGCAAGCGUUGUUCGGAAUUACUGGGCGUAAAGGGCGCGUAGGCGGCCCGCUAAGUCGAACGUGAAAUCCGCGAGCUCAACUCGGGAACUGCGUCCGAUACUGGUGGGCUUGAAUCCGGGAGAGGGAUGCGGAAUUCCAGGUGUAGCGGUGAAAUGCGUAGAUAUCUGGAGGAACACCGGUGGCGAAGGCGGCUUACUGGUCCGGUUCUGACGCUGAGGCGCGAAAGCGUGGGGAGCAAACAGG
This 253-nucleotide ribosomal RNA is filed under the name uncultured bacterium. RNAcentral describes it as "partial 16S ribosomal RNA". It matches the Rfam family "Bacterial small subunit ribosomal RNA", at positions 524 to 776 of the family's 1533-position model. The record is from RNAcentral.